CUUGCUCUUUCCGGAUGAGUUGCGAACGGGUGAGUAACGCGUAGGUAACCUGCCUGGUAGCGGGGGAUAACUAUUGGAAACGAUAGCUAAUACCGCAUAACAGUAGAUAUCGCAUGAUAGCUGCUUGAAAGGUGCAACUGCACCACUACCAGAUGGACCUGCGUUGUAUUAGCUAGUUGGUGAGGUAACGGCUCACCAAGGCAACGAUACAUAGCCGACCUGAGAGGGUGAUCGGCCACACUGGGACUGAGACACGGCCCAGACUCCUACGGGAGGCAGCAGUAGGGAAUCUUCGGCAAUGGACGGAAGUCUGACCGAGCAACGCCGCGCGAGUGAAGAAGGUUUUCGGAUCGUAAAGCUCUGUUGUAAGAGAAGAACGAGUGUGAGAGUGGAAAGUUCACACUGUGACGGUAUCUUACCAGAAAGGGACGGCUAACUACGUGCCAGCAGCCGCGGUAAUACGUAGGUCCCGAGCGUUGUCCGGAUUUAUUGGGCGUAAAGCGAGCGCAGGCGGUUAGAUAAGUCUGAAGUUAAAGGCUGUGGCUUAACCAUAGUACGCUUUGGAAACUGUUUAACUUGAGUGCAAGAGGGGAGAGUGGAAUUCCAUGUGUAGCGGUGAAAUGCGUAGAUAUAUGGAGGAACACCG
RNAcentral lists this ribosomal RNA (646 nucleotides) under uncultured Bacilli bacterium. RNAcentral describes it as "bacterial SSU rRNA". It matches the Rfam family "Bacterial small subunit ribosomal RNA", at positions 79 to 711 of the family's 1533-position model. The record is from RNAcentral. Lineage: Bacteria; Bacillati; Bacillota; Bacilli.